UAGGGAAUCUUCCACAAUGGACGCAAGUCUGAUGGAGCAACGCCGCGUGAGUGAAGAAGGCUUUCGGGUCGUAAAAACUCUGUUGUUGGAGAAGAAUGGUCGGCAGAGUAACUGUUGCCGGCGUGACGGUAUCCAACCAGAAAGCCACGGCUAACUACGUGCCAGCAGCCGCGGUAAUACGUAGGUGGCAAGCGUUAUCCGGAUUUAUUGGGCGUAAAGCGAGCGCAGGCGGUUUUUUAAGUCUGAUGUGAAAGCCCUCGGCUUAACCGAGGAAGCGCAUCGGAAACUGGGAAACUUGAGUGCAGAAGAGGACAGUGGAACUCCAUGUGUAGCGGUGAAAUGCGUAGAUAUAUGGAAGAACACCAGUGGCGAAGGCGGCUGUCUGGUCUGUAACUGACGCUGAGGCUCGAAAGCAUGGGUAGCGAACAGGAUUAGAUACCCUGGUAGUCCAUGCCGUAAACGAUGAAUGCUAGGUGUUGGAGGGUUUCCGCCCUUCAGUGCCGCAGCUAACGCAUUAAGCAUUCCGCCUGGGGGAGUACGACCGCAAGGUUGAAAC
This 556-nucleotide ribosomal RNA is filed under the name uncultured bacterium. RNAcentral describes it as "partial 16S ribosomal RNA". It matches the Rfam family "Bacterial small subunit ribosomal RNA", at positions 355 to 900 of the family's 1533-position model. The record is from RNAcentral.